UGGCGGGGCUGGGAGGUUCCCCCUUUUUGGUUCUAUCAAGAAGCAGUGGCAGAAAUCAAAAGCAGACACUUUCUUGGGCAGGGUCAAAGGGGCAGGAAAACCUCCCCAGUCUCUGCCUGCAAACUACGGAGAAACAGAACUUGCUGAGGGAAGGGAGUCAGCUGAAGACCUCUCCGUCCCCAUCCUCAAAGCUGAUUUUUUUUCACUGUGGUUUGCAUAGGAGUUUUUAUGGAGGGUUUGUAUGCAUGCUUGUGCCAUCUGUAUGUGUGAAUAUAAUGGACAAACACGAGCAACUUUAUAGAGAGAGACGCAUGGAGUCACUUGCGUUGCUUCGUACUGCUCUUACUUAGUCCAGAUAUUUAAGGGAUUCCUGAUUUCCUUCCAAUAUUGCACCUGUCACAGUAGGAGGAACCCAGGGUGGGGUGGGGGUGACAUCCAUGACUGCAGGGCACUAGUGGGCACAUGCCCCCACCUUGCCGGGGGGGGGGUGUUCAGCCGGUUCUUCCUCCACACUUGUCUUGAGCCAGGAUCGGGUGACCUUUCCUCACUUCCUCCCAUCCUGCUUCAACAGUCCAGUGCCUCCUCCUGAAUUUUUUUUCUAUCUCCCACCCUUUCCUUUCCAUUGUUCUCUCACCCCCUACUUGCCCAUCAGGUUUAUAAACACAGGCGUGGCCUCAGGGCUGCAAAGUUGAAUGCUUCAAAUCGUUCUAGAAAACCUAUGGCUUUUCCAUACCCUAAAACCUCUAGCAAUCUAUUUUUGGCAGUUUUUCCCUCUCUCCCCCUGCUUUCCUCUGUCAGAGUCCCCAAAAUUUUCACCACCAUUUCAGUGGGCAUGGCUAGUGGGGGUGUCAUGUGACUGAGUGGGCGUGAGUGAUGUCAAAUUGUCCACACCCACCUCAGUCACAUGUCCCCAACACAAUCUAACCACGACCACAAAACUGGUAGUAGAAACUUUUGAAACCCACCCAACUCUGUUGAGAUUAAUGUCAGGCACAGGCAACCAGAAAGGCUCUGGAAAUUAGAUAAAAAGGUUUCUUUAUGGUUGAUUCAACAGUUCACAAGAAUAUCACCAAAUUGAUAAGCUUCCCUUGGGAGUGCCUGAUACAGCCUAAGAAGUGUUUGAUCUCUCUCUCCCUCACUCCCCAUUGAAUCCAAAGCAAGAAUAUUUCAUAACUCCCCCUUUAAAGGCUUUCUUCCAUUCAGCUGCAGAAUAUAUCACAGUUGUAGUUGUUAACCAAAAAUCAUGGGUCACAGAGUACCCACCCGGUCCAAGCCAUGCUGGGAUCGUCUUUGGUAAAAAAAAAGGGACUAUCUCCAAUCCAUAAAUAUUUUUCAAGAACUAAUUGUGAUUAUUUUGGACUGCAGACUUUCUGGAGAGAUCCAGACUCAAUCUUUCAGCAGGCAUGUUGCAGAAGUACUCAGGACAAACCAGAGAUUGAGAACGUUAUACUUGGGCAUCCACUCCCCAGAAGACAAAGAAAUGGAACUAUUGUGCGAUGGGCUCAAACAUCCACAAUGCACAAUAGAGACAUUAGGACUUCGUGUAGACUUCUGGACUGAAUCUUGCAGCAGGCACAUUACAGAAGUAUUCAGGACAAACCAGAGAUUGAGGGAGUUGAAAAUCUACAUAGAUGACAUAGAUGACAAACAAAUGAAAGUAUUGUGCGAUGGGCUCAAACAUCCACAAUGCACAAUAGAGACCUUAACAUUUUCUGGACUGACCGGGAUUGAAUCCUGGACCAGGCAUCUUGCAGAAGUACUCAAGACAAACCAGAGAUUGAGAGAGUUAUGCUUGGACAUCAUCUGCCUACAUGAUAAAACAAUGAAACUAUUGUGCGAUGGGCUCAAACAUCCACAAUGCACAAUAGAGGCA
Non-coding RNA from Thamnophis sirtalis, 1873 nucleotides. NCBI's taxonomy places the organism in Eukaryota, Metazoa, Chordata, Lepidosauria, Squamata, Natricidae. The record is from RefSeq and is a predicted model, not a curated record.